CGAGCGGAACGAUGGGAGCUUGCUCCCAGGCGUCGAGCGGCGGCACGGGUGAGUAACACGUGGGAAUCUGCCCAUUAGUGGGGGAUAACUCGGGGAAACUCGAGCUAAUACCGCAUAAUCCCUACGGGGGAAAGCAGGGGAUCUUCGGACCUUGCGCUGAUGGAUGAGCCCGCGUCGGAUUAGCUUGUUGGUGGGGUAAUGGCCCACCAAGGCGACGAUCCGUAACUGGUCUGAGAGGAUGGCCAGUCACACCGGGACUGAGACACGGCCCGGACUCCUACGGGAGGCAGCAGUGGGGAAUCUUGGACAAUGGGCGCAAGCCUGAUCCAGCCAUGCCGCGUGUGUGAAGAAGGCCUUCGGGUUGUAAAGCACUUUCAGUAGGGAGGAAGGCUUUGGGCUAAUACCCUGGAGUACUUGACGUUACCUACAGAAGAAGCACCGGCUAAUUUCGUGCCAGCAGCCGCGGUAAUACGAAAGGUGCGAGCGUUAAUCGGAAUUACUGGGCGUAAAGCGCGCGUAGGCGGUGUGUUAAGUCGGAUGUGAAAGCCCAGGGCUCAACCUUGGAAUUGCAUCCGAUACUGGCACGCUAGAGUGCAGUAGAGGGAGGUGGAAUUUCCGGUGUAGCGGUGAAAUGCGUAGAGAUCGGAAGGAACACCAGUGGCGAAGGCGGCCUCCUGGACUGACACUGACGCUGAGGUGCGAAAGCGUGGGGAGCAAACAGGA
RNAcentral lists this ribosomal RNA (723 nucleotides) under Alloalcanivorax xenomutans. RNAcentral's name for it is "bacterial SSU rRNA". It matches the Rfam family "Bacterial small subunit ribosomal RNA", at positions 63 to 777 of the family's 1533-position model. Lineage: Bacteria; Pseudomonadati; Pseudomonadota; Gammaproteobacteria; Oceanospirillales; Alcanivoracaceae. The record is from RNAcentral.